GCAGCUCACUACAGAGAUCCAUUGCACAAUACGAUUAGCGGCAUGGGUUACCUAAUGGCAGAGGUGGGCACCGUGAUCCUGCCUGAGGAAUGCUGGGAUCAAAAACCGCUGAGAGAAGAGGUGUUGAGAGCACUAUACCAACUCCACGGACUGCGCCGAUAUCACGGAGAUCC
This 173-nucleotide non-coding RNA is filed under the name Durinskia baltica. The record is from RNAcentral. Lineage: Eukaryota; Dinophyceae; Peridiniales; Kryptoperidiniaceae.